RNAcentral lists this ribosomal RNA (252 nucleotides) under uncultured bacterium. RNAcentral describes it as "partial 16S ribosomal RNA". It matches the Rfam family "Bacterial small subunit ribosomal RNA", at positions 524 to 776 of the family's 1533-position model. The record is from RNAcentral.
UACGGGGGGGGCAAGCGUUGUUCGGAAUUACUGGGCGUAAAGGGCUCGUAGGCGGCCAACUAAGUCAGACGUGAAAUCCCUCGGCUUAACCGGGAACUGCAUCUGAUACUGGAUGGCUUGAGUUCGGGAGAGGGAUGCGGAAUUCCAGGUGUAGCGGUGAAAUGCGUAGAUAUCUGGAGGAAUACCGGUGGCGAAGGCGGCAUCCUGGACCGGCAUUGACGCUGAGGAGCGAAAGCUAGGGGAGCAAACGGG